GAUGAACGCUGGCGGCGUGCCUAAUACAUGCAAGUCGAGCGAACAGACGAGGAGCUUGCUCCUCUGACGUUAGCGGCGGACGGGUGAGUAACACGUGGAUAACCUACCUAUAAGACUGGGAUAACUUCGGGAAACCGGAGCUAAUACCGGAUAACAUGUUGAACCGCAUGGUUCAACAGUGAAAGACGGUCUUGCUGUCACUUAUAGAUGGAUCCGCGCCGCAUUAGCUAGUUGGUAAGGUAACGGCUUACCAAGGCAACGAUGCGUAGCCGACCUGAGAGGGUGAUCGGCCACACUGGAACUGAGACACGGUCCAGACUCCUACGGGAGGCAGCAGUAGGGAAUCUUCCGCAAUGGGCGAAAGCCUGACGGAGCAACGCCGCGUGAGUGAAGAAGGUCUUCGGAUCGUAAAACUCUGUUAUUAGGGAAGAACAAAUGUGUAAUUAACUAUGCACGUCUUGACGGUACCUAAUCAGAAAGCCACGGCUAACUACGUG
This 497-nucleotide ribosomal RNA is filed under the name uncultured bacterium. RNAcentral's name for it is "partial 16S ribosomal RNA". It matches the Rfam family "Bacterial small subunit ribosomal RNA", at positions 28 to 507 of the family's 1533-position model. The record is from RNAcentral.